Molecule: long non-coding RNA, 1642 nt
Organism: Cannabis sativa
Lineage: Eukaryota; Viridiplantae; Streptophyta; Magnoliopsida; Rosales; Cannabaceae
Exons: 2
Source: RefSeq, a predicted model, not a curated record
AUAAGAUUUUUGGGUACUCGAUCAUCAAUUUUUUAUUGCAAUUUUUUUUAAUUGAUAGGGUGUUUUAUAAUCAUCUGGGUUCCUAUCUGCUGAGUAAGACAAAAAUUCCAUUCAAAGAUUCUGUUUUUUCUAUAUAAAAAUUAAGAAAAAUGAGAAUUAAAUUACAUAAGUGAUGAACUGUAUUUGGUAUCAAAACCUUUACAAAAAGAAAAACUUUGGAAAAUUUUCAAAAAUAAUCUUUUUUAUAAUAUAUUUUAUUUAUAAUAUUAAAGCUUAAAAAUUUCAUAUAUAAUAAAUUUUUACCUUUUCCAAUUUUUAUUUUUUUUUCGUUUUUACGUUUUCAUUUUAAAAAUUUUACUCCUAUAAACCUUUAUUUUUCGUUUGAAAAAAAAAAAACCUUUAUUUUCAUAAAUAUAUCUUUAUUUUAAUUUUUCUUGCUGAAUUAGUCUUCUCGGAACUUGGGUGCCUGCCUUCUGCGACUUGGGCUAGAGCAAAAGAAUGUUAACCUUUUGGCCUCACUCGAUCGACCUCAACAUCAUGGCCGCCGUGGCCUGUGAACUCCCGUUUGGUUUGAAGAGGCAACAUAGCGUUGAGUACUGGAUCUGAAAUGGCUGACGCAUUUUUUGUGCCCUUCUUUUCCUCUUUGAAUUUUAAUACUCAUGGCCAUAACAUGAGUACUGAUCAGGUUGAUCGUCAAUUGCAGGUUGUGUUGGUUUUGGUAUUGGCUAGAAGUUCUCCUUGGUAAGCUAUUUGGAGGGGACAACGGUACUUAAGGAUCUAAUUCAGAAGGAUAACAUUACUAUAUAAGAGGCUUUAUCUCAAUGGUAUUGGCUUACAACCCAUGUCAAUUUUACCAAAGGAAUGGUAAUUUUUCCAUUAUUUUUGAUACCAUACAAUCGAGAAUUAGCAUUCUUCUAGUUUACAACAUAAAUGUAAUCUCAAUAAUAAAUUUUAGUGUUCAAAUAUAUAAUUUCAAUUGAUUUUUCAAAAUGUGUUCAUUUUUAUUUUUAAAAGGAGAUUUUGUCAACUGUUCAUGAUAUUAUGUGAGAUCUUUUUUGGUUAUACGAUAUAUAUGUAUGUAUAUAUAUGAUAUAUGUGUAUAUAUAUGUAAUGUGUUUAUAUAAAAAAUUAAAUAUUGACAUCCUAAUGAAUUAUGUUAUGUGAUUUUAUAGUUAAUGGUUUGAAGUCAAUUCAGGUGAGUGAGUGCAGCAAAUUUGGAAAGGUUUUGGGAUUGGGUUAAUAUGCUAUUGGAGAGUUGUUUUUGGCAGUGACAUUAUAUCAAGUAUUGUAUAAAUUUUUGUUAAUGAACAAAACAAAUAAUAAAAUGCAAAAUCAGAGUAAUCCUUCCUUUUUUAAUUUGUGAUUGUUAUCUUUCAAAUUAAAUAUAGUUUCGAAUAUGGAUGAUUAAAUUUGUUUUCCUAUCUUAUCACAAAUUUUGUAAUUUCAUAUUACUUUUUGUAAUUUUAUGACAUAAUAAUUUGUUAACUAUGUAUAAAUUUAUGAUGGGUGGGAGUCGUUAUUAAGGCUGAGGCUAUUCAAAUAAAUGGCGGGUGAUGAUGAAUGUAUUUUUUUUGGGUAAUGAUGAAUGUAUUUUGAUUUUGGUUAUAUUUUUUGAUUAAUUAAAGAUAGUAUUUUGAAUUUU